RNAcentral lists this ribosomal RNA (631 nucleotides) under uncultured euryarchaeote. RNAcentral's name for it is "bacterial SSU rRNA". It matches the Rfam family "Archaeal small subunit ribosomal RNA", at positions 19 to 649 of the family's 1478-position model. Lineage: Archaea; Methanobacteriati; Methanobacteriota. The record is from RNAcentral.
AGAGGCCACUGCUAUCAGCGUCCGACUAAGCCAUGCGAGUCGUGGGCACCCCCUCAAGGGGGAGACCCGGCGGACGGCUCAGUAACACGUGGCUAACCUACCCUCGGGUCCGGGAUAACCCCGGGAAACUGGGGAUAAUACCGGAUAGGCCUCUGAUACCUGGAAUGGGCGGAGGCCGAAGGCCGUGAGGCGCCCGAGGAUGGGGCUGCGGCCGAUUAGGUAGUUGUCGGUUUAACGGACCGACAAGCCUACGAUCGGUACGGGCCGUGAGAGCGGGAGCCCGGAGAUGGGCUCUGAGACAAGAGCCCAGGCCCUACGGGGCGCAGCAGGCGCGAAACCUUCACAAUGCCCGAAAGGGCGAUGAGGGGACGCUGAGUGCCCUUCGGGGCUGUUCGGGUGCCUAAAAAGCACCCGGAGUAAGGGCUGGGUAAGACCGGUGCCAGCCGCCGCGGUAAUACCGGCAGCCCGAGUGGUGGCCGCGUUUAUUGGGCCUAAAGGGUCCGUAGCCGGUCGGGUAAGUUCCUCGGGAAACCUCGCCGCUCAACGGUGAGGCUUCCGGGGAAUACUGCCCGACUUGGGACCGGGAGGGGCCGGAGGUACUCCCGGGGUAGGGGUGAAAUCCGUUGAUCCC